CCAAUAGCGUAUAUUAAAGUUGUUGCAGUUAAAAAGCUCGUAGUUGAAUUUCGGGAUUUAUCCGUCGGUCGGGCUUUUGGGUCUGUACUGGCGUGAUGGAUUCCUACCUUCUGAAUAACCGGCAUGUCAUUAAUUUGGUGCGCCGGGGAAGCAGGACUGUUACCUUGAAAAAAUUAGAGUGCUUAAAGCAGGCUUAUGCCUGAAUACAUUAGCAUGGAAUAAUGAAAUAGGACGGCAUGGUUCUAUUUUGUUGGUUUCUAGGAUCGCCGUAAUGAUUAAUAGGGAUAGUUGGGGGCAUUAGUAUUCAAUUGUCAGAGGUGAAAUUCUUGGAUUUAUUGAAGACUAACUUCUGCGAAAGCAUUUGCCAAGGAUGUUUUCAUUAAUCAAGAACGAAAGUUAGGGGAUCGAAGACGAUCAGAUACCGUCGUAGUCUUAACCAUAAACUAUGCCGACUAGGGAUCGGAUGAUGUUAAUUUUUUAAUGACUCGUUCGGCGCCUUACG
RNAcentral lists this ribosomal RNA (502 nucleotides) under uncultured Glomeromycotina. RNAcentral describes it as "partial small subunit ribosomal RNA". It matches the Rfam family "Eukaryotic small subunit ribosomal RNA", at positions 591 to 1092 of the family's 1831-position model. The record is from RNAcentral. Lineage: Eukaryota; Fungi; Glomeromycota.